GACCCAUCUCCAUGGCUUUUGUCAUGUUUGCUUGUCCAAAUCUCCAAACUUCAUCCUGAGCCUCUCCAAACCUGAAAUACCACAUAUGCAUAUGCUAUGCAGCUAAUCAAACUCUAAAUGCAUCCUAAAUGAUCUAAAUGAGUAUGAAAAUGAUAGGUUAAACCUGUAAAAUCUCAUGACAUCACUCAGCAGACUGGUGCUCAGAAGUUUAGUCCUUGUAGACAUCCAAAAUUUCCACCACCACCACCAUCGGAAAUACGGAUGGCACAACCCAUCAAUGAGGAUGC
RNAcentral lists this long non-coding RNA (287 nucleotides) under Brassica napus (rape). RNAcentral's name for it is "long non-coding RNA (BNAP_LNC016454)". Lineage: Eukaryota; Viridiplantae; Streptophyta; Magnoliopsida; Brassicales; Brassicaceae. The record is from RNAcentral.